GGCUUUGGAGUCUAAGGAAAUUAGGUCGGAUACAUACGAAUUAGUGUGUUUGCGACGCUGUCUUCGUGAUCAAGCCU
Molecule: non-coding RNA, 77 nt
Organism: Bombyx mori (domestic silkworm)
Lineage: Eukaryota; Metazoa; Arthropoda; Insecta; Lepidoptera; Bombycidae
Source: Rfam